CUGUUCUUGGGUUGCUGGUAUAAACCUCUAUCGAUAAAGCCAUAGUUUUAUUUUUCCUUUGGUGAUGUCAUUCUUAUGUUUGUCUAUUCUUUAGGCCAGGGUUUGAGUUAUCAUCCCUAUAUAUAAUGCUUGUUGCUGGGUUAGGUGUACCACUGGUAUCCUGUAGACAUCUUGUUUCUCUCUUUUUAAAAAAGGCCCUUCAUGUGCUAUCCUGGCUAGAACAGCAGCUGUAGAUGACAUACCAAUAGUAGAGAACUUAAUAACUACCAUAUACAACCAGGCAAAAGAUAGGUUCAGAUGAGCAUAUCUUAACCAAAAAAAUGAGCAAAGCCAAUCACAAGAAAGAGAGCCUCAGUCAGCAUGACAUAUGCCUUGUCAGACAAACAAUUUCCUGGCUUAACAAUUUACACUCUGUCAAGGGAAGACAAAACCAAGAAGAUGGUACUAUUGGAUAGGAAGUAACUCUGAUUAUUUCUUGGAAGAGUACAUCAAAAAACUAGACCUAAGCAAAUGGCCAUGGAUCCUACUCUGAAGCUGGCAGCUGCAGUAAACAAGCUAACUAAACAUAAGAUGGCAGAAAUAGUCCUUAGAGACAUUGAAAAUCAAACUUUCCAGCCAGAUUUGAGAUUUUAUAUUAGAUAUAUUGAUGGCAUUAUGACUGUAUGGAGUAGUAACAUAAGGAUACAAGAUCUCACUGAGGCAUUCACACUGGAUGUGUAUGAUUUCACACUAAGGAUGGAACAAGUAAGCCAAGAAACUAUACAUUUUCUAAACAUCAAGCUAACUAUUAGUAAUGGGAGGC
This 802-nucleotide long non-coding RNA is filed under the name Androctonus crassicauda. Lineage: Eukaryota; Metazoa; Arthropoda; Arachnida; Scorpiones; Buthidae. The record is from RNAcentral.